GACGAACGCUGGCGGCGUGCUUAACACAUGCAAGUCGAACGGAAAGGCCCUGCUUUUGUGGGGUGCUCGAGUGGCGAACGGGUGCGUAACACGUGAGUAACCUGCCCUUGACUUUGGGAUAACUUCAGGAAACUGGGGCUAAUACCGGAUAGGAGCUCCUGCUGCAUGGUGGGGGUUGGAAAGUUUCGGCGGUUGGGGAUGGACUCGCGGCUUAUCAGCUUGUUGGUGGGGUAGUGGCUUACCAAGGCUUUGACGGGUAGCCGGCCUGAGAGGGUGACCGGCCACAUUGGGACUGAGAUACGGCCCAGACUCCUACGGGAGGCAGCAGUGGGGAAUAUUGCACAAUGGGCGGAAGCCUGAUGCAGCAACGCCGCGGGCGGGAUGACGGCCUUCGGGUUGUAAACCGCUUUCGCCUGUGACGAAGCGUGAGUGACGGUAAUGGGUAAAGAAGCACCGGCUAACUACGUG
RNAcentral lists this ribosomal RNA (468 nucleotides) under uncultured bacterium. RNAcentral's name for it is "partial 16S ribosomal RNA". It matches the Rfam family "Bacterial small subunit ribosomal RNA", at positions 28 to 507 of the family's 1533-position model. The record is from RNAcentral.